This 666-nucleotide long non-coding RNA is filed under the name Homo sapiens (human). RNAcentral describes it as "HSALNT0402874". The record is from RNAcentral. Lineage: Eukaryota; Metazoa; Chordata; Mammalia; Primates; Hominidae.
AGCCCAGACAGGAGAGCAGCGGUCUGCUUCAGCCAUGAGACCACCUCAGGCGAAAAUAGACUUGUGAAUUUCUGGCUUUUCCCUUUGGAGUCCAAGGAGCAAGGGCAGAAUGAGGAACAGGAUGUUUCUUACAGACUCAUGAGGCCGCAGCACAGAAACUGCAAGAAAUAUUUGAGGGCAUUUUUUUAAGCUCUCCACAUGUGGUUUACUGUGGACCAAACACUGGCAGCUUCAGGCUUACAAUCUGCUGACAAAUCCUUCUUAGUUCGUUCACUUUGAAGAAUGUGAGCAUGCACUGCUCAUGUGCGUGGCAAGCAUGCAACCUGAUCAGGAGAAGGACAGUGGCCACUCACGUCAUCAGGUGAACUUGUGACGAGGCCAUCAAGAGGCUGCACAUGUGCUCCAGAAAAUGAAAUUCCCACUAUCAACCUAUUUUCCAUUUCCACCCAAUGGCCCACCCCUGCUCCAAAGCCGUGUCUCCACCUCUUAGGAAUGCUUGAUUUUCAGUAUUGCUGAACAGGGGUCAAAGAAAACAAACUGAACAAAGAAACAAAUAAAGCCUUUAACCCGGGAGCAAAGACACAGCACCUCCCCACUCCGCAACAGCUCCAGAGCUGCACAGCUGCUGCCAGAGCCUGAGCACAGGCCUGAACUCUGGCCCAUGGA